This 497-nucleotide ribosomal RNA is filed under the name uncultured bacterium. RNAcentral's name for it is "partial 16S ribosomal RNA". It matches the Rfam family "Bacterial small subunit ribosomal RNA", at positions 28 to 507 of the family's 1533-position model. The record is from RNAcentral.
GAUGAACGCUGGCGGCGUGCCUAAUACAUGCAAGUCGAGCGAACAGACGAGGAGCUUGCUCCUCUGACGUUAGCGGCGGACGGGUGAGUAACACGUGGAUAACCUACCUAUAAGACUGGGAUAACUUCGGGAAACCGGAGCUAAUACCGGAUAAUAUAUUGAACCGCAUGGUUCAAUAGUGAAAGACGGUUUUGCUGUCACUUAUAGAUGGAUCCGCGCCGCAUUAGCUAGUUGGUAAGGUAACGGCUUACCAAGGCAACGAUGCGUAGCCGACCUGAGAGGGUGAUCGGCCAAACUGGAACUGAGACACGGUCCAGACUCCUACGGGAGGCAGCAGUAGGGAAUCUUCCGCAAUGGGCGAAAGCUUGACGGAGCAACGCUGCGUGAGUGAUGAAGGUCUUCGGAUCGUAAAACUCUGUUAUUAGGGAAGAACAAAUGUGUAAGUAACUAUGCACGUCUUGACGGUACCUAAUCAGAAAGCCACGGCUAACUACGUG